RNAcentral lists this ribosomal RNA (796 nucleotides) under uncultured bacterium. RNAcentral's name for it is "bacterial SSU rRNA". It matches the Rfam family "Bacterial small subunit ribosomal RNA", at positions 61 to 824 of the family's 1533-position model. The record is from RNAcentral.
GUCGAACGAAACUUCUUUAUCACCGAGUGCUUGCACUCACCGGUAAAGGGCUGAGUGGCGAACGGGUGAGUAACACGUGGGCAACCUGCCCAACAGAGGGGGAUAACACUUGGAAACAGGUGCUAAUACCGCAUAACCAUAGUUACCGCAUGGUAGCUAUGUAAAAGGUGGCUAUGCUACCGCUUUUGGAUGGGCCCGCGGCGCAUUAGCUAGUUGGUGGGGUAAAGGCUUACCAAGGCAAUGAUGCGUAGCCGAACUGAGAGGUUGAUCGGCCACAUUGGGACUGAGACACGGCCCAAACUCCUACGGGAGGCAGCAGUAGGGAAUCUUCCACAAUGGGCGAAAGCCUGAUGGAGCAACGCCGCGUGGGUGAAGAAGGUCUUCGGAUCGUAAAACCCUGUUGUUAGAGAAGAAAGUGCGUGAGAGUAACUGUUCACGUUUCGACGGUAUCUAACCAGAAAGCCACGGCUAACUACGUGCCAGCAGCCGCGGUAAUACGUAGGUGGCAAGCGUUAUCCGGAUUUAUUGGGCGUAAAGGGAACGCAGGCGGUCUUUUAAGUCUGAUGUGAAAGCCUUCGGCUUAACCGGAGUAGUGCAUUGGAAACUGGGAGACUUGAGUGCAGAAGAGGAGAGUGGAACUCCAUGUGUAGCGGUGAAAUGCGUAGAUAUAUGGAAGAACACCAGUGGCGAAAGCGGCUCUCUGGUCUGUAACUGACGCUGAGGUUCGAAAGCGUGGGUAGCAAACAGGAUUAGAUACCCUGGUAGUCCACGCCGUAAACGAUGAAUGCUAAGUGUU